UUGCGACAUGCUUAUCCUAAAGACUCUCGACAAGACUCUUGCAUCGAUGAAGAACAUAGGGAAAUGUGAUACUUGGUGUGAAUUGCAUAAUCCCGUGAACCAUCGAGCCUUUGAACACAAGUUGUGCCUAAAUUCAUGCGAUACUGGGUGUUGCACAUCGUUGCCUCGUGCCUUGGCCACAUGCUAGGCACCAAGCGGGGCGAAUGUUGGCUUCCCGUGAGCAAUGUCUCAUGGUUGGUUGAAAAUUGAGUACAUGGUGGAAGGAGUCGUGAUGGAUGGUGGUUGAGCUAAUGCUCGAGACCGAUCGUGCGUGUCACCCACACCAGCUUUGCAAAUCUUUAACCCAUGGGGGUCUAUUGGCCUCCUAAUACGGGAACCUCAGGUCAGGCGGGGCUACUCGCUGAGUGUAAGCAUAUCAAUAAGGGGAAGAAAAUAAACUAACAAGGAUACCCUUAGUAAUGGCAAUCGAAUGGGGAAAAGCCCACCAUCAGAAUUAGUUGCCCUCACUAUCUGAAUUUUAGUAUGGAGAAGCGUCCCUUGUGGUGGACCAGGCCCAAGUCCCUUGGAAGGGGGCGCUAGAGAGGGUGUGAGUCAUGUCGUGCCCGAACCCUAUUGCACCACAAGGCACUGUCUGCAAGUCGGGUUGUUUGGGAAUGCAGCCCUAAUUGGGCGGUAAAUUCUGUCCAAGGCCAAAUACUAGUGAGAGACCGAUAGGGACAAGUACCGCAAGGGAAAUAUGAAAAGGACUUUGAAAAUAGAGUCAAAGAGUGCUUGAAAUUGUCGGGAGGAAAGCGGAUGAGGGCCAGUGAUGUGCCUCGACCACAUGUGGAACAACGAGAGCCAGUCUGCCAAUUGAUUCGGGCGUGGAAUGACAUGAAUUAUGAUGGUGGCCCAAGUUGUUGGCAUGCUUGUGGAGACGUCAUCAUCGCGAUUAUGGUUGGAAGCGCGCCCCAUCUCGGUGUGCUUCGACACCUGUGUGUUCCUGACGUCGGCCUACGGGCUCCCCAUUCGGCCUGACUUCAAAAACGGACGAUGGAGUCUGGCAUGUGUGCGAUUCAGUGGGCAAGUAAACCCCUAAGGCGCAAGGAAGCUGAUUGGUGAGAUCCCCUUGUGGGUUGCACUGCCGACCGACCCUAUUCUUUUGUGAAGGGUUUGAGUGAGGGCAUACCCCUGGCGACCCUUGAAAAUCAGGAGGACUAAGUGUUUCCCACGCCCGGUUGUACUUAUAAUCGCAUUAGGUCUCCAAUGAGAACAACCUCUGGUCGAUGGAAUAAUGUAGGCAAGGGAAGUCGACAAACUGGAUCCAUAACCUCGGGAAAAGGAUUGGCUCUAAGGGCUGGAAAUGGGGCCACAGUCCCGAACUCGUCGGCUGUCGGUGGACUGCUCGAGCUACUUUCGUGGCGAGGGAAGGUCACCACGUGCCCGUUGGGGGACGGAUUAGGAACAGGCCCUUCAGGGCAUCUUCCUUAGGCUUUGAACAUUCAACUCCGAAUUGGUACGGACAAGGGGAAUUCGAUAUUUUAUGUAAAACAAAUAAUUGUGAAGGUCCAUGCAGAUGUUGACACAAGGAGUUUUAUGCCCAGUGCUCUGAAUGUCAAAGUGAAUAAAUUCAACCAAGCGAUGGUAAACGACUGGAGUAACUAUGACUCUCUAAGGUAUACAAAUGCCUCGUCAUCUAAUUAGUGACGCACAUGAAUGGAUUAACGAUAUUCCCACUGUCCCUGUCUACUAUCCAGCGAUACCAUAACCAAGGGAAUGGACUUAGCAGAAUCAACAUGGAAAGAAGACCCUGUUGAGCUUGACUCUAGUCUGACUUUGUGAAAUGACUUGAGCGGUGUAGGAUAAGUCUGAUCUAGAAACAACGUAAGUGAAAUAACACUACUUUUAACGUUAUUUUACUUAUUUUGAGAAUCAGAGGCGGGGCGCUGCCCCUGUUUGUGGACCCAAGGUCGGCCUCAGUAGGUCGAUCCAGGCAUAAGACAUUGUCAGGUGGGGAGUUUGGCAGGGGUGACACAUCUGUUAAAAGAUAACAUAUGUGUCCUAAGAUGAGCUCAACGAGAACAAAAAUCUCGUGUGGAACAAAGGGGUAAAAGCUCGUUCGAUUUUGAUUUCUAGUUCGAUUACGAACUGUGCAAGUGUGGCCUAUAGAUCCUUUAGUCCAUCGAAAUUUGAAGCUAUAGGUGUGAGAAAAGUUACCACAUGGAUAAUUGGCUUGUGGCAGCUAAGCGUUCAUAGCAAUGUUGCUUUUCUAUCCUUCGAUGUCGGCUCUUCCUCUCAUUGUGAAGCAUAAUUCACCUAGUGUUGGAUUGUUCACCAUCAAUAGGGAAUGUGAGUUGAGUUUAGACUGUCGUGAGACAAGUUAGUUUUACCAUACUAGUGAUAGUGUCGCAAUAGUAAUUCAACAUAGUAUGAGAGAAACCGUUGAUUCACAAAAUUGGUCAUCGUGUUUGGUUGAAAAGAAAGUAGUGCGAAGCUAUCAUACAUUUGACUACAACUGAACACCUCUAAGUUAGAAUCCAGGCUUGAAGCGAUGCAUGUGCCCCUCGCCCAUUUUCCGACCAGUAGUAGGGGGCCUCGGUCCUUAGAGGCACAUGUCGUUGGUAAGCCCCACGGGGUGGAAAAGCCUCGCGGGACGCCUUGAAACGCUAUUCCCCACUGGGUAGCGGGUAGAAUCCUUUGCAGACGACUUAAAUAUGUGAUGGGGUAUUGGAAGUGCAGAGUGGCCUGUCUGCCACGAUAUACUGAGAUUCAGCCCUUGUCGCUUCGGUCCGUCCCUCCCAUCUCA
This 2785-nucleotide ribosomal RNA is filed under the name Lupinus angustifolius (narrow-leaved blue lupine). Its description in RNAcentral is "eukaryotic LSU rRNA". The stretch from base 374 to 2772 matches the Rfam family "Eukaryotic large subunit ribosomal RNA". The record is from RNAcentral. Lineage: Eukaryota; Viridiplantae; Streptophyta; Magnoliopsida; Fabales; Fabaceae.